UCAUCUUCAUCUCUGUAUGAUGCUCCAGCUACUCCAGACUUACUGCCCUGUGUCUGUUCCUAAGGCCAAGCCAUCACAUUAUGGAACUCAUCCAUAGUCCACCUGUGCACUGGUGGCGUGUCGUACAGUCCUAUAAUCAUCUCAGUAGUGGCCACCUGCCCUCUGUGGAGAGACUCCACCCUUGCCUCCAUCAUGGACAUAUACAUGUCCCUCAUCUGGAAAGGCUCAACAUGAUGUGCCGGUGCAUUUGCAGGUACGUCCUCCUGCUGUGUUGCUGCCCUCCUAGGACGUCUCCUAGGAACUACUCCGG
This 310-nucleotide long non-coding RNA is filed under the name Vigna radiata. RNAcentral's name for it is "long non-coding RNA (VRAD_LNC017217)". The record is from RNAcentral. Lineage: Eukaryota; Viridiplantae; Streptophyta; Magnoliopsida; Fabales; Fabaceae.